This 30-nucleotide non-coding RNA is filed under the name Mus musculus (house mouse). The record is from RNAcentral. Lineage: Eukaryota; Metazoa; Chordata; Mammalia; Rodentia; Muridae.
UGAUGAGUUUUUGUUGACCCACCUUGAGAC